CUGUGGUGUUAGAUACACACAGGUCUGAUAAAUAAUCCAGGAACCUUGGUUCUCGAUUUCUCCUGAGUAAAUUAACAAAGGUCUCUAUUUCUUUAGCCGUGAUGUGUUUCUCUAGCAGUUUUCUGUUGUUGUGCAGCAAAGCGGUGAUGGUGUCUUCUGCCAAAAUAUCAUAACCAAUCUGGGACUGCAUGACGCAGAAGUUCUUAGCAAUAUAUUCCUGGUUCUUCCUAUAGUCCUGCUGGGAAUGUCUGAGAACUCUGUAACACAACCUUAACAUGUAUUUGUAUGGGGCAUAUCUCUGGUCACCUAGGUCUUCAAGUCUCAGCAUUGAUCCUUCACCUUUGUCCUUAAAAGGAGCUUUGAGGAUCCCGAAUAUCUGAGCCAAAAUAUUUUGUUCCCGCAUUAAUUUUUGUCGUUCCCGGUUUGGCUUAGUAAUGACCACAUCCAAAACUUCCUGCCCAUUGUUAGGCACAUCAGACACAAAGAAAAUCAGAUCUUCUAGUAACUUGGUCACAAAUCUCCUUUCAUUCUGGGUUAUUG
This 540-nucleotide long non-coding RNA is filed under the name Gallus gallus (chicken). The record is from RNAcentral. Lineage: Eukaryota; Metazoa; Chordata; Aves; Galliformes; Phasianidae.